RNAcentral lists this ribosomal RNA (445 nucleotides) under uncultured bacterium. RNAcentral's name for it is "bacterial SSU rRNA". It matches the Rfam family "Bacterial small subunit ribosomal RNA", at positions 330 to 792 of the family's 1533-position model. The record is from RNAcentral.
GCCAGACUCCUACGGGAGGCAGCAGUGGGGAAUAUUGCACAAUGGGGGAAACCCUGAUGCAGCGACGCCGCGUGAGUGAAGAAGUAUUUCGGUAUGUAAAGCUCUAUCAGCAGGGAAGAAAAUGACGGUACCUGAUUAAGAAGCCCCGGCUAACUACGUGCCAGCAGCCGCGGUAAUACGUAGGGGGCAAGCGUUAUCCGGAUUUACUGGGUGUAAAGGGAGCGUAGACGGUGAUGCAAGUCAGAAGUGAAAGCCCGGGGCUCAACGCCGGGACUGCUUUUGAAACUGUGUGACUGGAGUACAGGAGAGGUAAGCGGAAUUCCUGGUGUAGCGGUGAAAUGCGUAGAUAUCAGGAGGAACACCAGUGGCGAAGGCGGCUUACUGGACUGUAACUGACGUUGAGGCUCGAAAGCGUGGGGAGCAAACAGGAUUAGAUACCCUUGUA